GCUGGGUGUGCUGGUGGGCACCUGUAGUCCCAGCUACUUGGGAGGCUGAGGCAGGAGAAUCACUUGAACCCAGGAGGCAGAGGUUGCAGUGAGCCAAGAUGGCACCACUGCACUCCAGCCUGGGUGACAGAGUGAGACUCCGUCUCAA
RNAcentral lists this non-coding RNA (148 nucleotides) under Homo sapiens (human). The record is from Rfam by way of RNAcentral. Lineage: Eukaryota; Metazoa; Chordata; Mammalia; Primates; Hominidae.